RNAcentral lists this unclassified non-coding RNA (931 nucleotides) under Hevea brasiliensis (rubber tree). The record is from RNAcentral. Lineage: Eukaryota; Viridiplantae; Streptophyta; Magnoliopsida; Malpighiales; Euphorbiaceae.
GGCACUCCCCAACCUUUUCUAUCUAUCCUUAGAAGUAGGAUAAAAAAGUGUAUAAAGACCGGAUUAUCUCUCUGAAUCAGGUUAUUCACUGGGCUGUUAAGCCAUCUAGUCUUCUAGGGUUGAUCGAUCCGUUUCAAGAGGAUUCAUCCAAGACUCUAGAUUUCGUUAAUUCUAAGGAGGAACCCAUUCCAUAAGGAAGAUGAGAGGUAUGCAAAUAAGGCAUACAUAGUUGGCUGGUUAUUUGUCUCUCCUAUCCCUGCUGCUACUGCAGGUGCCCGGAAUUCAUGGAAUCUCUGGUAGAGGGGAGUCGAGAAAAAUGCAGUAGGAGCUUAUUUUGCCUUUCAUGGCUUUAAUUUGAGCUUCAGAUCCUGAAUCUCCAUAAAUGGGUAUGGGUAUGACUGGUUAAGGUGACCAGCUUUGUGCGGCAACCGCAAGUGUUGGUACUCUGGAACGUUAUAGCUAAGGAGCGGAUUUCAAGGUCCCUUGACUUGCCAAACGAUUUCCAGUAUGCCUAUACAGUUAGUCUUUACACACAUGAUAGUGGCAGCCAGGUUAUCGACGAUUCUACAAUAGGCGGCCGCUGGAAAACCCGACUUAGCGAAUCACUUCCAGGCUGGCAAACAAUCUAUCUCGUGCCAGUGGCUCUUGUUCGCCUCAUUUAUGCUGGUGGCAUCCCGUACCGUAUUGUGCUGAACACUCACAAAAGCCGUGGCCUUCCGCUAUGUUAGACCGUCCCCUAGAAGUACAAUGGUUGGUCCCUCCGGAACUGGUAAUCUCCGUUUGACUUGAAAGGAGCCUUGUUCAGCAGGUGCGCAGCAAAUAUUCUUUCACAAGUUUGACGCAAGUCGUACCUCCCAGCCCCCUUAGCUACUUGUACUAAAAAACUAGGACGCUAUACGGAAAUUCGUGCCUGCUUAUCCCGGCUACAAUA